ACCGGCAGCUCAAGUGGUGGCCAUUUUUACUGGGCUUAAAGCGUUCGUAGCUGGCUUGUUAAGUCUCUGGGGAAAUCUUCCAGCUCAACCGGAAGACUUCUCAGGGAUACUGGCAGACUAGGGACCGGAAGAGGUGAGAGGUACUCCCGGGGUAGGAGUGAAAUCCUGUAAUCCUGGGGGGACCACCUGUGGCGAAGGCGUCUCACCAGGACGGAUCCGACAGUGAGGAACGAAAGCUGGGGGAGCAAACCG
RNAcentral lists this ribosomal RNA (252 nucleotides) under uncultured prokaryote. RNAcentral's name for it is "partial 16S rRNA". It matches the Rfam family "Archaeal small subunit ribosomal RNA", at positions 475 to 726 of the family's 1478-position model. The record is from RNAcentral.